AUUGAACGCUGGCGGCAUGCCUUACACAUGCAAGUCGAACGGCAGCACGGGAGCAAUCCUGGUGGCGAGUGGCGAACGGGUGAGUAAAGUAUCGGAACGUGCCCAGUCGUGGGGGAUCACGUAGCGAAAGUUACGCUAAUACCGCAUACGAUCUAUGGAUGAAAGCGGGGGACCGCAAGACCUCGCGCGAUUGGAGCGGCCGAUAUCAGAUUAGGUAGUUGGUGGGGUAAAGGCUCACCAAGCCGACGAUCUGUAGCUGGUCUGAGAGGACGACCAGCCACACUGGGACUGAGACACGGCCCAGACUCCUACGGGAGGCAGCAGUGGGGAAUUUUGGACAAUGGGCGAAAGCCUGAUCCAGCCAUGCCGCGUGCAGGAUAAAGGCCUUCGGGUUGUAAACUGCUUUUGUACGGAACGAAAAGGUUUGGCCUAAUAAGCUGAGCUCAUGACGGUACCGUAAGAAUAAGCACCGGCUAACUACGUGCCAGCCGCCGCAGUAA
RNAcentral lists this ribosomal RNA (500 nucleotides) under uncultured bacterium. Its description in RNAcentral is "partial 16S ribosomal RNA". It matches the Rfam family "Bacterial small subunit ribosomal RNA", at positions 30 to 523 of the family's 1533-position model. The record is from RNAcentral.